CGGCCGCGUCGACGUUAAAAAGCUCGUAGUUGGACCUUGGACCUGGACAGGCGGUCCGCCUCACGGCGAGUACUGUCUUGCUGGGUCUUUCCUCUUGGUGAUCUGUUGUUUCGGCAGCAGGGAACCAGGACCUUUACUUUGAAAAAUUAGAGUGUUCAAAGCAGGCUCGACGCCGGAAUAUAUUAGCAUGGAAUAAUAAAAUAGGACGUGCGGUUCUAUUUUGUUGGUUUUGGAAUCGCCGCAAUGAUUAAUAGGGACAGUCGGGGGCAUUAGUACUCACAUGCUAGAGGUGAAAUUCUUGGAUUUUGUGAAGACUAACUUCUGCGAAAGCAUUUGCCAAGGAU
RNAcentral lists this ribosomal RNA (344 nucleotides) under uncultured eukaryote. Its description in RNAcentral is "SSU rRNA". It matches the Rfam family "Eukaryotic small subunit ribosomal RNA", at positions 612 to 965 of the family's 1831-position model. The record is from RNAcentral.